Molecule: ribosomal RNA, 253 nt
Filed under: uncultured bacterium
Lineage: Bacteria
Description: partial 16S ribosomal RNA
Rfam family: Bacterial small subunit ribosomal RNA
Source: RNAcentral
UACGUAGGGUGCAAGCGUUAAUCGGAAUUACUGGGCGUAAAGCGUGCGCAGGCGGUUUUGUAAGUCUGUCGUGAAAUCCCCGGGCUUAACCUGGGAAUGGCGAUGGUGACUGCAAGGCUAGAGUUUGGCAGAGGGGGGUAGAAUUCCACGUGUAGCAGUGAAAUGCGUAGAGAUGGGGAGGAACACCGAUGGCGAAGGCAGCCCCCUGGGUCAAGACUGACGCUCAUGCACGAAAGCGUGGGGAGCAAACAGG